GUGCUCACUUUGGCAGCGCAUAUACUAAAAGUGGAAUGCUACUGAGAUUAACAUGGCCCCUGUGUAAGGAUGACACAAAUUCACAAAGCUUUCCAUCUUUUU
Small nuclear RNA from Nannospalax galili (Upper Galilee mountains blind mole rat), 102 nucleotides. Lineage: Eukaryota; Metazoa; Chordata; Mammalia; Rodentia; Spalacidae. The record is from Ensembl.